GAUAGGGGGAGUUUUUUUUUCCCUGAACAAGCCACGUUCGCGAUUCAAGCUGGGUAUCACCAGGUUGACAAUGUGAUACAUCGAGGAAGUACCUCACAGGUACCAGUGGCUGGGUGGUGGGACAGGCGAGGCUGGGUUAGGCUUGACUAUAAGCAUAAUCCCCUUGUUAAAUUUUCUUUUCUUUUCUUUUCUUUUUGUUUUUCGUUUUCUUUCCAGAGAGUUGCAGUGGUAGUUAUUUCUCAAUAUUGGCGAGUGGACACGGCGCGGAAACCGAACAAUCCCAUCCCGGUUUCUGGCGAUGUCAUUGAUGUCAGCUGGUUCGAAUAUCAGCUCCAUGGACGAGUUUGAGUCAGGUAAUUAACUAGUUACUGGUAUGUUUAUCCUUGCGCUCUACCAGUCAGUUCCAGCAGAAGGAAUAUUUCAAACUGGUCCUCGAGCACAGGUGACCGUGGUGCGGCGGACUGAAUAAAAGGAUUCGAAACGAGGAUUUACCCAGUUCUUCGAGACUUCUUUCAAUAUGCCAUGUGAUCAUUUCCAUUGACAGUUUCCUUUACGUUACAUUUGCAGGUUUUGAUUUGGCGCUUUCCGGGAGAUUGACUACAUCGGGGAAGAAAAAAGUAAGUUUAUUGACCCCUAGGGCAGAAACGGUACGGUACUGGCUGAACUGCCAACUAAUCCUCCGCACUCGGCACAAAUAAACGCACAAGGCAUGGUCACAUAUCAAACGAAUCCAGAGGGUUAUAGGAGAAGUUCCAGGAGUGAAGAAGCAAAAAAAGGUGCAAGAGUGAUCCGUUCAGUCAGCCACCCGUGCGGAUAAGAAUACCUCUCUGUUCUUAAAAGUGACAUAUUGUAAUGAGCACGCCGUGAAUUAAAAAAAAAGGAGAACGGAAGGUAAUAUAAAUAAGGGGACAACGACGGAGAGGAAAUCUUCAAGAGAAUAGUACACAAUAAUCAUAAUCAGCAAAACUAGGAGCAAUCAGGCAUAAGGGAGUUAACGAGAAAGGGACAGCGGGAAUUAACAGUAAAAAUUAAUAGUAAAGAAAUAGAGCGGAACUGGGUGAAAUAGAAGACGGUAUAGUAUGUAUGAGAACAGAAACAACCAUAAAACGGAUAUCAGUAAAGAUAAAAAUGCCCUCUUGCGGUAGAAUAGAAUCAUGCGCGUGGUGAUAUUGAUGAAAAAAAGCAGCCGGUAAAAAGCAAAGAAAAGAAAACAGAGAUAAAUUCCCCCACUUUAGUUAAUCCUUCCUCAUUCCCCACCCCGUUGCAAACAAGCAAGGGAGCAAAAAAUGAUAACCCAUGAAGAAAAUACCACUAAACAGUCACGAAACACAGCAGGAUUAUAGAAAUAUCUAUGCAAAUCAAGAUAUACAAAUAUCUAUGCAAAAACGCGAAGGAUGCCGCUAUGAGAUGGACAAGGAAAGGUAAUCAUAAUGCACAACAAACAAAAAAAAAGAUAUCGAAGUGGUCGAAAAGCAAAUCAAAUCCGUAAGACUACGUCCAAACUCCGCAAGAAGCGAGCCA
This 1521-nucleotide small RNA is filed under the name Histoplasma ohiense. Its description in RNAcentral is "hypothetical lncRNA". Lineage: Eukaryota; Fungi; Ascomycota; Eurotiomycetes; Onygenales; Ajellomycetaceae. The record is from RNAcentral.